Molecule: ribosomal RNA, 253 nt
Filed under: uncultured bacterium
Lineage: Bacteria
Description: partial 16S ribosomal RNA
Rfam family: Bacterial small subunit ribosomal RNA
Source: RNAcentral
UACGAAGGGGGCUAGCGUUGUUCGGAAUUACUGGGCGUAAAGGGCGCGUAGGCGGUGUGUCAAGUCAGGCGUGAAAGCCCCGGGCUCAACCUGGGAACAGCGCUUGAGUCUGGCACGCUCGAGUUCGGGAGAGGAUGGUGGAAUUCCCAGUGUAGAGGUGAAAUUCGUAGAUAUUGGGAAGAACACCGAUGGCGAAGGCAGCCAUCUGGACCGACACUGACGCUGAGGCGCGAAAGCGUGGGGAGCAAACAGG